RNAcentral lists this unclassified non-coding RNA (187 nucleotides) under uncultured Ceratobasidium. Its description in RNAcentral is "sequence contains ITS1". The record is from RNAcentral. Lineage: Eukaryota; Fungi; Basidiomycota; Agaricomycetes; Cantharellales; Ceratobasidiaceae.
UUGAAUGAAUCUAGAGUUGGUUGUCGCUGGCCCUCCCAAGGGGGGCAUGUGCACGCCUUCUCUUUCAUCCACACACACACCUGUGCACUUGUGAGACGGAUGGCUUUAAUUAGCCUUCCGUCUACUUAAUUUACACAAACUCAUUAAUAUUAAACUGAAUGUAAUUGAUGUAACACAUCAUUAAAAC